ACGAACGCUGGCGGCGUGCCUAAUACAUGCCAGUAGAACGCUGAAGAGAGGAGCUUACUCUUCUUGGAUGAGUUGCGAACGGGUGAGUAACGCGUAGGUAACCUGCCUUGUAGCGGGGGAUAACUAUUGGAAACGAUAGCUAAUACCGCAUAACAAUGGAUGACACAUGUCAUUUAUUUGAAAGGGGCAAUUGCUCCACUACAAGAUGGACCUGCGCUGUAUUAGCUAGUAGGUGAGGUAAUGGCUCACCUAGGCGACGAUACAUAGCCGACCUGAGAGGGUGAUCGGCCACACUGGGACUGAGACACGGCCCAGACUCCUACGGGAGGCAGCAGUAGGGAAUCUUCGGCAAUGGGGGCAACCCUGACCGAGCAACGCCGCGUGAGUGAAGAAGGUUUUCGGAUCGUAAAGCUCUGUUGUAAGUCAAGAACGGGUGUGAGAGUGGAAAGUUCACACUGUGACGGUAGCUUACCAGAAAGGGACGGCUAACUACGUG
This 496-nucleotide ribosomal RNA is filed under the name uncultured bacterium. RNAcentral's name for it is "partial 16S ribosomal RNA". It matches the Rfam family "Bacterial small subunit ribosomal RNA", at positions 29 to 507 of the family's 1533-position model. The record is from RNAcentral.